This 511-nucleotide ribosomal RNA is filed under the name uncultured bacterium. RNAcentral's name for it is "bacterial SSU rRNA". It matches the Rfam family "Bacterial small subunit ribosomal RNA", at positions 8 to 518 of the family's 1533-position model. The record is from RNAcentral.
AGAGUUUGAUUAUGGCUCAGGAUGAACGCUAGCUACAGGCUUAACACAUGCAAGUCGAGGGUAGCAGGGUAGCAAUACCGCUGACGACCGGCGCACGGGUGAGUAACACGUAUCCAACCUUCCCAUAACUCAGGGAUAGCCUUUCGAAAGAAAGAUUAAUACCUGAUAGUACUUUUUCAAGGCAUCUUGAGAAGUUAAAGAUUUAUUGGUUAUGGAUGGGGAUGCGUUCCAUUAGAUAGUUGGUGAGGUAACGGCUCACCAAGUCUUCGAUGGAUAGGGGUUCUGAGAGGAAGGUCCCCCACAUUGGUACUGAGACACGGACCAAACUCCUACGGGAGGCAGCAGUGAGGAAUAUUGGUCAAUGGGCGAGAGCCUGAACCAGCCAAGUAGCGUGAAGGAUGAAGGUCCUAUGGAUUGUAAACUUCUUUUAUAGUAGAAUAAAGUGAUCCACGUGUGGAUUUUUGUAUGUAUACUAUGAAUAAGGAUCGGCUAACUCCGUGCCAGCCGCAGC